UCAAAGAAGAGUGUAGGAGAGCUUAAAUGAGACCUGUGUGUACUGCUUCAGCCACAUGGGCCUCUUAAGAAGAUGCAGUUAAGGCCUUGCAGCUGAAGGUGCGCCACAGCUGCAGGGCUGAAGACCCAUUGGCUUCCCCUGCAAAGCUGUUAAGGUUAACUCACAGCACUUGCAGCUCUACUGCAGUAGUUAGAGAGAGGUUUGUGGUGUCUCAGAGCUUAGUUUUCCCCCAUAGCACAAGGGUAAAGUUAUCCUUAACUGCCCAGUCAGAUCUACAAGGGGCUGACAAAUUUUGGUCUCGAACAGGGUUUUUGUGAGGGGCAAGAAGGAAAAUUGGUUGUUCUUGUGGAAUCCCUGUUCUUUUGCUUACUUUUUCUACCUCUGAGGAGAGUCAAGCCACCAGAAACACUGCAGGGGAGGGUAUUUAUGUUCUCCCAUGGCAACACAGAUCUGCUGGUCAUGAAACACCUACAGAUGUCAUUCUGAAACUGCCCAGCCUUUAAAAUGGCUGUAAACUCCACGUUGGACAACUUUCAGCACCGUUUUCCAGAAUGAUCAAAUCUAGCUCCGCAGGAAAUUUUACUACCACGACUUUCAUCUCUCUCCUGGUUUGAAGAUAAAUGAUCCUUGGACUCUUCUGGACCUGCAUAAAUCACAAAAGCAAUCUACUAAGAGAGCUGCCUGUGGCACCUACUUCAGCUGGAAUUGAAAAAGGACAGUCAAAAAUAUCCACGGAAUGUCCCAUGAGGGUCCAACCUGAUGGUGAUGACACCCAAAGCACCAGCGACGACGCACAAGGUGAAACCCCCCCCGUGCUCUGCUCUCACUUGAGAGAUACUGCGUGGUGGCACCAGCACCCAGCUCCUGCACCACCAGAACAAACAUGCCUGGAGUCGGGCUGCCGGCUGCGUUGAGACUGGAAGUCCUCUGCAAAAAGCACUGCGGCAUCCCUCGGCCAUUGGUGGCAGUGCUACAGAGCGGGUUGCCCCUUCCACAGAGGCAGACCACAGAUUGAGAAGAGCUGACUGCCCUUCCGGUAGCAGCAAUGCAAUUACGCUGCUCAGAGCGAGGGAGAAAAACACUGGCUGAUUUGCUUUGCGUCAUGUUCUGUUAACCUCAGAAUUAACCUUGCUGGACACAGAUCUGUUAACUUUUACCAUGCUCCCCCAAUUAAUCUGCUGAAGUCUGGGACAGAAAUAGCUAUCCACAGCUGUUACGAAUUGAUAUGUUCCCUGAUGAUGCUUGGCACUGCCUUCAGAAAAAAAGAAAAGUUUCUGAUUUUAUUCUUUGCUAUGAAAUUAACUUUUUUUUCCUAUUUUUAUUAUUUCUAAUGCUCUUUCUUUGCAAACUGAUGGCCUCAGACUGCUCGGCUUUGCUUUGAUUGGAAUGGAAGGCAGACUUGCUACUUGAGGACACCCCAUAAUGCGUGCAUCUAGAGGAGAGAUUACAAGUUGCACCAUCAGCAGCCAAGCAAGGUCUGAGCCACAAGGAAAGAUCUGAGUCAUCUCCCCGAGAGAGUAUUUUAGCCAUACAUCAUUGUUUGUUUUCAGGCAAACCAGUACAAUUAUGCAACAUAAAUUCUUUUAAAGCAUUUGGGACUUCAGUUCAAUUUAAAAUCCUGUAGGUUUUAUGGCCGGGAUGAGUGAUUACAAAGCGUGUGCAUACAAAUGAAGACUUAGGAAGAAGCGUGUGGGGAGGAUGAAAGGGCGCGCGGAGCCUCGUGCGCUCGCUGGGCAAGCUCCGGCCAGGCUGCAACAAAGGGUGGGAGAUCUGAAGGGCCCACGUCAAAGGCAGGUUAUGAUAUUUAUGGCUCUGGAGCAUGGUUUCACUCACCCAGUGCCACGAGCAUUUUCUGUGAUUGCGAUCUCCUACAAAUGCUUUUCUAUGGGCUUCAGCAGAGCCAGGUGACUUUGCCUGGAUUACCUCCUGAUUUAUGCUGCCUUGAAUGGGGAUGAGAAUAUGAUCUAUUUAAAAACAAGACUCGGCUAUAACAGAAAUAGAGGGAGGCAUUAAAAUGUCUGCCAUCUGAAUAUUUCAUCACUCCGGGAAAGUGCUAAGCAGGGGCUUCAGGCUCAGAUGCCAUCCUUGGGCAAAAGGACAGGGUGGUGGUGGGGACACUGAGCCCACCCGUCCCCUUGCCAUGUCACCAAGUUCCCGUGGGGAAAUCAGAGCCGUGGCUGAGCUGCUUUUACCCCAGUCCCUUCCUCCUUUCCCUCCCAAAGCAGAACUGCUUAAAGAUGUGGUGCUUGCUGCCCUGCAAGCUCAGCCUCCACCACACAGCCCCAGGAGCUGCAGACCCAGGCGGGGAACCAGGACCUAGAGGCACAACGAGCAGAAAGCAAAGAUCCCACAGCUUGGAUUAAUGUGCUUUCUUUGAGACAUACUGUCAUGGUUUUUGGAGGCCUGGCAGUUAGAUUAGUUUGCAGUGCCAGCUACCUAUUUAUUUAUUUCUUCUUCUGUACAGAGGAGUGGAGUCUACAGUGUUUUGUUCCCUCUCUCUUAUUUAGGUGAACAUACAGAUAGGCUUGUGUCUCCGUAUUCCACUUUUACUUACACAGAUGUAAAUUCCACUGCAGCAGGAGGGAUUAUUGACAGCGGAUCUGAGACAAUCCAAGGCCAGACUCUGACCUAUUGAUUUUGCCAAGAUUGCACAGGACGUAUGUAGUUCAUUGCAGAAUACAGUCUUUGUUUGUUUUGUUUAUUGCUCAAUAUAUAACAAUGUGGAAUAAAGAACGACGCCAAACUGCAGAAAUGCCUGAGGAUUUCUCUUUAAUUGAAAUCAGGACUGGGAUCAGGACUCCUUGUAAAUCAAGAGCAGUCAGCCUUUGAGAAAAUUCACUGCUUUUCCAAAGUUUACUUUUAAAUAGGAUUUAGCUUUAACUCUUCACCUCUCAGAGCAGCUCAGCUAAAUAAUCUUUAAUGAUUUUUCUGGAGCCACUAUGUGCUGCUCGAUAGUUUGAAAAUUCAUGGGCACAACAGAUGCUGGGCAGGAUUCUUGUUUAUACUAAGUGUGAACUGUAGUUGAGAAAAAGCAAAUCCGUGUAAAUGUUAGAGACAUUCCCGAUAUCGAUCCCAACAGAUAUUCUUGAAAAGCUGGAUGCUUUUCUGAGUCAGGAUUUUGGUUCAGUCCAUUAAAAACCCACCGGUUGUCCUUGUAAAACUAUGACCUAGAUCUGCAUUUUACUUCAGUUUGAUGCUGCUUUGGAUUAACCUUUAACUCGGAGCCCUACAGCCGCAGUGCCGUACAAACUCCUACCCUCAAAUUCCACCAGCGGGUUGGCUACAGCCUUCCUGAGAGCGCCUCAGCCUCCAGGUAAAUGGGUGCCAACCGCUGUGAGCAGAGCAACAUCGCAGCCCUGAUGUCCUAAUUAGAGGCCCGUCGUUUCCCACAUCGGAGCUCCCUGUGUUAUGAAACAGCCAACCAACAGUGUGAUGCUCAGCUGAAGAUUUCACAAUGCGACUUUCCUUCUCCAGCUGUAUUUUUCCAAACUCACAUUUUCAGAGGCUCUCAUUUCAAUGCGUUUAUUGGAUUGAGAUGUCUCGUAAUUAUUUAUAACAAAAGAGCUCGUCCUUCCAGCCUAUUGUAAAUGGGCAGCGCGCUGAACGCUAAGUUAGCAGCAGCAGGCUGCAGGAGGAGCAGGCUAUUAAGAUGAAUGCAACAAAUCUGAAUUCUUCCAUCCCCACCCUUCAGUAACCCAUCUGUGUGUGUGGCUGGGAAGGAAAAGAAAGGGCUCCUCUUCUCCAGGAUAAUAGCAAACGCUACUAGAGAGGGAAGAGGAAAACCCUGUUUAUCCCUAGCAGGAAGAUAAUUGAUCUCCAGCCCGCACACAACCGGUCUCAGAGCAGCCGGUAGCAGCACAGCAGAGCCUGUAGCGAACCAGAGCCCAACCAGCCUGUCAAACAAAAGCUUUAUAGGGACACCAGGGAGAACAAAAGUAGCACAUUUCGUUCCUUCAUCAUAAAUCUUCCCCUUUAUUGUGCGGAGAUGCUUGGCUGCUGAGCGUGCCGCAUUUCGGCGCGGGGGCCACCCCGCGGGCGGUGCGAGAGCCCCCAGGCCCCCCACAGCCCCCGGGGCUGCGCUCGCCUCUGCCAGCCCCAGCUGGUCCCCGCGUCCUCAGACACCAGCAGCCCUGAGCUCCGGCUCUAUCCCUCUCUCUUUUAUGUCUGCUGAAGGUAAUAAAAUAACCAU
Oxyura jamaicensis (ruddy duck) is the source of this 4189-nucleotide long non-coding RNA. RefSeq lists it as uncharacterized. The record is from RefSeq and is a predicted model, not a curated record. NCBI's taxonomy places the organism in Eukaryota, Metazoa, Chordata, Aves, Anseriformes, Anatidae. The transcript has 7 exons.